UAAAAGUUUUAUUCUAGCUAAAGAAUUUUCUGUCAGAUUGUUUCAUAUGUAAGUAAUUAUGAGAUAGAUAAGGAAAUCUAAAAGAUUCUGGAAUAUUUUGUUAUGCGCAGUGUUUUGUAUUGGUUGGUCAAGGCAUCUUGGAACUAGUAAUUUUGUUAAUUCCGGCAAAAUUUGUGCCAGCCGCCGCGGUUAUACAAAAGGAGUAAGAAUAUUUUAUUGGUUUGUAAUUAGUUUUAAGAGGUGGUUAAAAGGUGGAAUUUGUUAGGUGAAAUUUUAAAUCUAUAGUUAAUCAAAUUAUAGUUGAAUGAAGUUAUGAAGUUUAGACAAUAAACUGGGAUUAGAUACCCCAUUAUUCUAAAAGUUAAAAUAAAGCCAGAGUAGUAAUAGUUAUGUUCUUGAAACUCAAAGAAUUUGGCGGUGUUUUAAUCCGGUCAGAGGAACCUGUCCUGUAAUCGAUAAUCCACGUUUAUUUAACUUAGUUUUGUAUUCAGCUUGUAUACCGCCGUCAAAAGAAUGAUUCGAGAGAAUAUUUUCAAGGUUUUUAAUUAAAAAAGAUGUCAGGUCAAGGUGCAGUUUAUGGCUAAGGAGAGAUGGGUUACAAUAAUUUUAAUUACAUGGAUAUUUUUUUGUAAAAGGAAAUUAAAGGUGGAUUUGGAGGUAAUAAAAGAAAAUAAGUUUUUAUGAUAACGGCUCUAAAACAAGCACACAUCGCCCGUCGCUCUCGUUUUUUAAGGCGAGAUAAGUCGUAACAUAGUAGAUGUACUGGAAAGUGUCUCUAGAAAGU
Molecule: non-coding RNA, 784 nt
Filed under: Epeorus psi
Lineage: Eukaryota; Metazoa; Arthropoda; Insecta; Ephemeroptera; Heptageniidae
Source: RNAcentral